GGGAUUGUGGCUCAGUGGUGGAGUGCUUGCCUAGAAUGCAUGAGGCACUAGGUUUGAUUCUUGGCACCA
This 69-nucleotide transfer RNA is filed under the name Ictidomys tridecemlineatus (thirteen-lined ground squirrel). Its description in RNAcentral is "Spermophilus tridecemlineatus (thirteen-lined ground squirrel) tRNA". It matches the Rfam family "tRNA". Rfam says of the family: Transfer RNA (tRNA) molecules are approximately 80 nucleotides in length. Lineage: Eukaryota; Metazoa; Chordata; Mammalia; Rodentia; Sciuridae. The record is from Rfam by way of RNAcentral.